This 465-nucleotide ribosomal RNA is filed under the name uncultured bacterium. RNAcentral's name for it is "partial 16S ribosomal RNA". It matches the Rfam family "Bacterial small subunit ribosomal RNA", at positions 338 to 795 of the family's 1533-position model. The record is from RNAcentral.
CCUACGGGUGGCAGCAGUGGGGAAUAUUGCGCAAUGGGCGAAAGCCUGACGCAGCGACGCCGCGUGAGGGAUGAAGGUCUUCGGAUCGUAAACCUCUGUCAGCAGGGAAGAACGGUCACUGUGCUAAUCAGCAGUGAAUUGACGGUACCUGCAAAGGAAGCACCGGCUAACUCCGUGCCAGCAGCCGCGGUAAUACGGAGGGUGCGAGCGUUAAUCGGAAUUACUGGACGUAAAGCGCUCGUAGGCGGUAUGUCAAGUCAAGGGUGAAAUCCCCGCGCUCAACGUGGGAACUGCCUUUGAAACUGGCAAACUGGAGUGUGUGAGAGGAUAGUGGAAUGCCAGGUGUAGGAGUGAAAUGCGUAGAUAUCUGGAGGAACAUCAGUUGCGAAGGCGACUAUCUGGCACAUAACUGACGCUGAGGAGCGAAAGCGUGGGUAGCAAACAGGAUUAGAUACCCUUGUAGUC